Molecule: long non-coding RNA, 2111 nt
Organism: Scaptodrosophila lebanonensis
Lineage: Eukaryota; Metazoa; Arthropoda; Insecta; Diptera; Drosophilidae
Exons: 8
Source: RefSeq, a predicted model, not a curated record
CAACAGAAAGAGAAAAAUUAAUUUGUUAUAGGUUUAAGUUAAAAGUUUUAAGGUUUACAUUUUAUACACAACACUUUACUAAAACGCAUUUGAUUCUAAGAAGUUGACUCCAAAGGAUUAAUCCUUUACCGACACACCAGGGAUAAUACUCUGGAGUUGAGUUCCAGCACUUCCACUGUGAAACGAAUUGGAGGCUGGCAAUACUUUUAUUUUUUAAACGAGUUGAAAAGUGGAUAUACUGGAUAUACCUCAUACACCUAUCUAAAGGCAUAAUUGAAACGUACGCACAGCAUACACUUCAUAUAAUUACUUGGUAUUGGUUCUAUAGAUAACGGACCAUACUAUAUACACCUUUAUACCUACUCAUCAUAUAAGAAAACAUGGGAUUUGACACCAAAAAACAUAUAAUGCAGCAACAAACGUUCAUACAUACAGACAUUUACUGAGUUUACUGAGAAUACAUAUCUAUAUAUUAGCACCAACACACAACAUACAUACAUACACAUAUAAGUAAAGGACCAAAACUAUUACUUUCUAAACAUAAAUCGUUGUGAGAUAACGUCGAGAGAUAUGACACUAAAUGCAGACAUUAAGAGCAAAUUCGGAAGUUCGAACAAAAUCUUAAUCUUUGCCAACACGUGACAAAUAAAAAUACACAUACAAACAUAAUUCAUCUACAUAUCUAUAUAUCAGCACUAACACACAGAAAUACAUACACACACACAUAUAUAUAUAUAUAUAUAUACUGUCACUAAGUAGUACUGUCACUAAAGAAGAGGCGUACAAUACGAAUUGAAGGCAAAAUUCAGAUACGCCUACAGAAUGACUCUAUUUCUUUUGCACAUGGAAUGGAGAGUACUACUAAGAAGAGAGGUACUUAAAUGAUAACUGGAGCUUAAACAUAACGAAUUGAAGACAGUGGAUAUAAAACCAUUUAUAAUACAUAUUCAAAAAUAAUGCGAAAUUCUAAAAUGACUGUGAAUCGAAACUGGUUGCUGAAAGUUUAUGUUCCUUUACGUUGACUCGACAAACACUUACAGACCUUACACUAGGAAAGGAAAUUACAAUUACAGAAAAACCUCAGAACAAACUUCUAUGAAAUUAUAAAAACUAACGGAAUGGCAAGAAAUUCUGCCUUAUUAUUAUUUAACAAUUUACAAAAUGUUUUCGUUGGUUAAUACAGUGGCCGCAACAAACGAACACACAUGGUGAUGCAUGAUCUUCAACUGGGGACUAAUCAAAUGGAUGGACUAUGAAUGCAUUAUUUAUCCAUUUAUGUGGAUUAGUUUUUUUUUAAUUUUUCAAAUGUGAAUAUUUGAAAUUGAGAAAUGCUAGAAGUAUAAUUUUAUGGAGAAUUGUUCACUUCACUCAAAAAUUAGUGAAUAUCGAUUGCAAUAUAAAACUAAAUUCGUCGUAUAUAGGAUAACCGAUGCAAUGGCGCAGCAGCAACAAACGUGCGCACAGACUCUAGAAAUGCAGAAGUCAAAUUAUAAGUGAAUUCAAGUGAAAUUAAUAGUUCAGUUCCUAGCAAAAGGACGCUAAUUCCGACUUAAAAUUUUGGAAGAACAUAACAAGUGUAAUGUGAAAGAGAAGAAGAGAACUAAAGAUCUAACAACUAGAAUUUUCAACAGCAGUUCGGAUAAUUCAAAUUUUUAGUAAAUGGCGCACUACAAGUAUAUGGGAAACGCAAAAUCCGAAAAGAAUUCAAAAGCGGAAUAACAAUGAAUGGUUUGUUCAGAAAUCGGGGGAAAAACAAACAUUUCAAUUGAAUGUUUUUUUGAUAAACUUUUAAAAAUCGUUGUCGUGGCCACGCAUUUAUCAAAAUCGAAAAAAUUAACGACUUAUCAUUGAGGCUGAAAGGUGCAAUGAUGUGUAUGAGAAGGUGAGAACUAAAUAUUAUCUUCAGCUGAUACAUCGAGCUAUAUCAGAGUAAAGGGAUAGUCGAUUAAUAAAUCGCUUGACGGAAUUUCUGAACGAGAUACGCUGCUACAAUAUUCCAAGUUCGAUUUGGCAUUUGACAAAAUUUUAGUGUAUUAAAAAAUUGUUUGUGUAUAUUUUAGCUUUUAAUACCAAAAGCAUAGCUUAAUAAUAAAUAUAUUUUGAGAGAAAAA